CCGCGCCCCCGGCUCCGCGCGCCCCAGGCCCCUGAGGCCGUCUCCCCACUCUGCGCGCCCUCGGAUGCGGGGGUGCGGGCAGCCCUGCGCUGCCCGCCGCCGAACCUGCACCCUCCCUGGGAAGGAAGCCUAGCUCCAGCCGCGUGGUUUCCGCGCCGAAGUGCGAUGUGGGUCGCCGCUCUGGAGUCCCCUGCUCCCAGGCUGGUCUGGAAGGGUGGCAGUUGCUGGAGUACCAGGGUACCGUGUGAACAAUGUGGUAGACAGCCUUUAAGAUAUGCCCCUGCCAAUGAUCUCUGCCUCCAGAUGGAAUCUGCCACCCAGGCUGGAGUGCAAUGGUAUGAUCUUGGCUCACUGCAAUUGCCACCUCCCAGGUUCAAGUGAUUCUCCUGACUCAGCCUUCCCAGUAGCUGGGAUUACAAGUGCCCACCACCAGGCCCGGCUAAUUUUUGUAUUUUUAGUAGAGACGGGGGUUUCACCAUGUUGGGCAGACUGGUCUCGAACUCCUGACCUCAGGUGAUCUUCCCGCCUCGGUCUCCCAAAGUGCUGGGAUUACAGGCCUGAGCCACUGCGCCCGGCCUCAGACCAACUUUUUAAGAGAGCUUCUUUCCCAGAGCAAAGCAAAGUAUGCUUACUGUCUAUAGCUAAGAUUCUGAGCAGGGUGCUUUGGCUCACACCGAGGCUGGGGCGGGAGGAUUGCAUGAGUCCAAGAGUUCGAGGGUUGAGUGAGCUAUGAUUGCCUGGGUGAUAGAGCAAGAUGCUGAUUCAAAAAAAAAAAAAAAUUCUGGUUCCGCAAGCUUAAAGCUGUGCUCUCUUGUGAUGUGCUUUGCUGUGUAUACAGAUGUCACCUGGCCCCCUUUGCAUUGCCUUUGGGAACUGGGACUGAGGAAAGCAGCACAAGAUAAUGUCGAUAUUUUUGCUAUUGCUAUUGCUAUGAGUAAAUAAAACCUUUUGUCUCGAACACA
This is a long non-coding RNA of Callithrix jacchus (white-tufted-ear marmoset), 962 nucleotides long. RefSeq lists it as uncharacterized. Lineage: Eukaryota; Metazoa; Chordata; Mammalia; Primates; Cebidae. The record is from RefSeq and is a predicted model, not a curated record.